This 468-nucleotide ribosomal RNA is filed under the name uncultured bacterium. RNAcentral's name for it is "partial 16S ribosomal RNA". It matches the Rfam family "Bacterial small subunit ribosomal RNA", at positions 28 to 507 of the family's 1533-position model. The record is from RNAcentral.
GACGAACGCUGGCGGCGUGCUUAACACAUGCAAGUCGAACGGAAAGGCCCUGCUUUUGUUGUGUGCUCGAGGUGCUGACGGGUGAGUAACACGUGUGUCACCUGCCUUUGACUUUGGGAUCACGUCAGUAAACUGGGGCUAAUACCGGUUAGUCGCUCCUGCUGCAUGGUGGGGUUCGGAUGGUUUCGGCGGUUGGGGUUGUACUCGCGGCUUAUCAGCCUGGUGGUGGGGUAGUGGCUUGCCAAGUCUUCUACGGGUAGCCGGCCUGAGAGGGUGACCGGCCACAUUGGGACUGAGAUACGGGCCAGACUCAUACGGGAGGCAGGAGUGGGGAAUAGUACACAAUGGGCGGAAGGCUGAUGCAGCAACGACGCGCGCGGGAUGACGGCCUCCGGGUUGUAAAGCGGAAGCGCCUGGGACGAAGCGGGAGUGACGGUAAUGGGUAAAGAAGCACCGGCUAACUACGUG